Molecule: ribosomal RNA, 320 nt
Filed under: uncultured Prevotella sp.
Lineage: Bacteria; Pseudomonadati; Bacteroidota; Bacteroidia; Bacteroidales; Prevotellaceae
Description: partial 16S ribosomal RNA
Source: RNAcentral
GGAGUUUGGACCGUGUCUCAGUUCCAAUGUGGGGGACCUUCCUCUCAGAACCCCUACUGAUCGAUGGCUCGGUGGGCCGUUACCCCGCCGACUACCUAAUCAGACGCAUCCCCAUCCCCUAGCGGUAAACCUUUGGUAUUCGUCAGAUGUCCUCAAAAUACAACAUAGGGUAUUAAUCCGAUUUUCACCGGGCUAUGCCCUACUGGGGGGAAGGUUGGAUACGCGUUACUCACCCGUGCGCCGGUCGCCAUCAGAGUUUGCAAGCAAACCCCAUGCUGCCCCUCGACUUGCAUGUGUUAAGCCUGUAGCUAGCGUUCAUC